Talpa occidentalis (Iberian mole) is the source of this 107-nucleotide small nuclear RNA. Lineage: Eukaryota; Metazoa; Chordata; Mammalia; Eulipotyphla; Talpidae. The record is from RefSeq and is a predicted model, not a curated record.
GCGCUUGCUUCAGCAGCACGUAUACUAAAAUUGGAAUGAUACAGAGAAGUUUAGCAUGGCCCCUGUGCAAGGAGGUCAUGCAAACUCAUGAAGUGUUCCAUAUUUUU